Molecule: transfer RNA, 79 nt
Filed under: Lentzea flaviverrucosa
Lineage: Bacteria; Bacillati; Actinomycetota; Actinomycetes; Pseudonocardiales; Pseudonocardiaceae
Description: tRNA_Tyr_GTA
Rfam family: tRNA
About the family: Transfer RNA (tRNA) molecules are approximately 80 nucleotides in length. Their secondary structure includes four short double-helical elements and three loops (D, anti-codon, and T loops).
Source: RNAcentral
GUGGAGAGGGGGCUGUGGAGCCCCGCCCGUCUGUAAAACGGGAGCCUCGCGCAGAGUCGGUUCGACUCCGACCUCCACC